UUAGCUUGCUUUUGAAGAUCAGCGGCGGACGGGUGAGUAACACGUGGGCAACCUGCCUGUAAGACUGGGAUAACUUCGGGAAACCGGAGCUAAUACCGGAUAAUCCUUUCCCUCACAUGAGGGAAAGCUGAAAGACGGUUUCGGCUGUCACUUACAGAUGGGCCCGCGGCGCAUUAGCUAGUUGGUGAGGUAACGGCUCACCAAGGCAACGAUGCGUAGCCGACCUGAGAGGGUGAUCGGCCACACUGGGACUGAGACACGGCCCAGACUCCUACGGGAGGCAGCAGUAGGGAAUCUUCCGCAAUGGACGAAAGUCUGACGGAGCAACGCCGCGUGAACGAUGAAGGCUUUCGGGUCGUAAAGUUCUGUUGUUAGGGAAGAACAAGUACCGGAGUAACUGCCGGUACCUUGACGGUACCUAACCAGAAAGCCACGGCUAACUACGUGCCAGCAGCCGCGGUAAUACGUAGGUGGCAAGCGUUGUCCGGAAUUAUUGGGCGUAAAGCGCGCGCAGGCGGUUCCUUAAGUCUGAUGUGAAAGCCCCCGGCUCAACCGGGGAGGGUCAUUGGAAACUGGGGAACUUGAGUGCAGAAGAGGAGAGCGGAAUUCCACGUGUAGCGGUGAAAUGCGUAGAGAUGUGGAGGAACACCAGUGGCGAAGGCGGCUCUCUGGUCUGUAACUGACGCUGAGGCGCGAAAGCGUGGGGAGCGAACAGGAUUAGAUACCCUGGUAGUCCACGCCGUAAACGAUGAGUGCUAAGUGUUAGAGGGUUUCCGCCCUUUAGUGCUGCAGCAAACGCAUUAAGCACUCCGCCUGGGGAGUACGGCCGCAAGGCUGAAACUCAAAGGAAUUGACGGGGGCCCGCACAAGCGGUGGAGCAUGUGGUUUAAUUCGAAGCAACGCGAAGAACCUUACCAGGUCUUGACAUCCUCUGACAACCCUAGAGAUAGGGCGUUCCCCUUCGGGGGACAGAGUGACAGGUGGUGCAUGGUUGUCGUCAGCUCGUGUCGU
Molecule: ribosomal RNA, 1011 nt
Filed under: Mesobacillus thioparans
Lineage: Bacteria; Bacillati; Bacillota; Bacilli; Caryophanales; Bacillaceae
Description: bacterial SSU rRNA
Rfam family: Bacterial small subunit ribosomal RNA
Source: RNAcentral